This 1435-nucleotide ribosomal RNA is filed under the name uncultured organism. RNAcentral describes it as "16S ribosomal RNA". It matches the Rfam family "Bacterial small subunit ribosomal RNA". The record is from RNAcentral.
GCUUAACACAUGCAAGUCGAGGGGCAGCACAGGUAGCAAUACCGGGUGGCGACCGGCGCACGGGUGAGUAACGCGUAUGCAACUUACCUAUCAGAGGGGGAUAACCCGGCGAAAGUCGGACUAAUACCGCAUGAAGCAGGGGCCCCGCAUGGGGAUAUUUGCUAAAGAUUCAUCGCUGAUAGAUAGGCAUGCGUUCCAUUAGGCAGUUGGCGGGGUAACGGCCCACCAAACCGACGAUGGAUAGGGGUUCUGAGAGGAAGGUCCCCCACAUUGGUACUGAGACACGGACCAAACUCCUACGGGAGGCAGCAGUGAGGAAUAUUGGUCAAUGGCCGAGAGGCUGAACCAGCCAAGUCGCGUGAGGGAUGAAGGUUCUAUGGAUCGUAAACCUCUUUUAUAAGGGAAUAAAGUGCGGGACGUGUCCCGUUUUGUAUGUACCUUAUGAAUAAGGAUCGGCUAACUCCGUGCCAGCAGCCGCGGUAAUACGGAGGAUCCGAGCGUUAUCCGGAUUUAUUGGGUUUAAAGGGUGCGUAGGCGGCCUUUUAAGUCAGCGGUGAAAGUCUGUGGCUCAACCAUAGAAUUGCCGUUGAAACUGGGGGGCUUGAGUAUGUUUGAGGCAGGCGGAAUGCGUGGUGUAGCGGUGAAAUGCAUAGAUAUCACGCAGAACCCCGAUUGCGAAGGCAGCCUGCCAAGCCAUUACUGACGCUGAUGCACGAAAGCGUGGGGAUCAAACAGGAUUAGAUACCCUGGUAGUCCACGCAGUAAACGAUGAUCACUAGCUGUUUGCGAUACACUGUAAGCGGCACAGCGAAAGCGUUAAGUGAUCCACCUGGGGAGUACGCCGGCAACGGUGAAACUCAAAGGAAUUGACGGGGGCCCGCACAAGCGGAGGAACAUGUGGUUUAAUUCGAUGAUACGCGAGGAACCUUACCCGGGUUUGAACGCAUUCGGACCGAGGUGGAAACACCUUUUCUAGCAAUAGCCGUUUGCGAGGUGCUGCAUGGUUGUCGUCAGCUCGUGCCGUGAGGUGUCGGCUUAAGUGCCAUAACGAGCGCAACCCUUGCCACUAGUUACUAACAGGUAAAGCUGAGGACUCUGGUGGGACUGCCAGCGUAAGCUGCGAGGAAGGCGGGGAUGACGUCAAAUCAGCACGGCCCUUACAUCCGGGGCGACACACGUGUUACAAUGGCGUGGACAAAGGGAAGCCACCUGGCGACAGGGAGCGAAUCCCCAAACCACGUCUCAGUUCGGAUCGGAGUCUGCAACCCGACUCCGUGAAGCUGGAUUCGCUAGUAAUCGCGCAUCAGCCAUGGCGCGGUGAAUACGUUCCCGGGCCUUGUACACACCGCCCGUCAAGCCAUGGGAGCCGGGGGUACCUGAAGUCCGUAACCGCGAGGAUCGGCCUAGGGUAAAACUGGUGACUGGGGCUAAGUCG